Neofelis nebulosa (Clouded leopard) is the source of this 906-nucleotide long non-coding RNA. RefSeq lists it as uncharacterized. The transcript is spliced from 3 exons. The record is from RefSeq and is a predicted model, not a curated record. Lineage: Eukaryota; Metazoa; Chordata; Mammalia; Carnivora; Felidae.
UGGCACAAUAUUAGUGAAGGAAUGUUGUAAUCUAUUUUUAUAUUUGUGUAUUUCCUAUUUAUAUUAUAUAUUCAAUAACAAAAUAACAUUUUACUUUUUUUUCUUUUUCUUGUUGUAAACAACAUCCCAAUGAUACAUUAGUACGUAUCUUCACUCAGAUGGCUGCUUAUGUCCUUAGGGUAGAAGCUAGAAGGAGAAUUACUGGGCCAAGAAAUAUAAAUAUUUUUAAGACUUUUGCUACCUAUUGCAAAAACUGCCCAGGAGAAAGGUCGUACCAAUUAGCACUGCAGCAAGGAGACAUGGGCCAUCUCACCACCUCCGUUGACGGCUAGAAUUCCUUUUAAUCUCUGUUAAUUUGUCCCCCAAACACCAAACUGUUAAACAGAGAGCAACGCGGGAAGCCAGCAGCGCUGUUCUGUUGCCACGGAGCCUCAGCACGUGUUUUUGAAGUACACACAAAAAUGGACAGACGGAUGUACAUUUAUCUAUAAAUAUCAUCAGUCGGCGGAAUCCCCAGUAACAAAGAAAAAGUAGGUAAGGGGAUUGUGCCUCACACUGCCCUUCUUUCUUUUCUCUUUAAUAUUGCCCUGGAUGUGUGUUGUGAUUUCAUUUUACCAGCAGGUGUGUAUGCGUGUGUGCGUGUGUUUGGAGGUGGUGGGGAGAGGGGGGCAGGGUAUGACUCCCCACAGGGUGGUUAGUCUGCACCUUCAUAUUCCCGUGAGUUCAACCCUGGGUCCCACAUCAGACAGGCUGUCUGGAUGCUCUUUAAACUAAGCAGCAGGAUAGAUGCUACUUCUGGCAUCACCCUUUGCUACAAAGGCAUUGAAAACAAGGCCUGAGGCAAUUAGGACAUCAAAUAGUCCUGUGGCUCUUAUAAUACCUAAAUAUUAAAUAUUUAAAAAGGUA